This 309-nucleotide ribosomal RNA is filed under the name uncultured bacterium. RNAcentral describes it as "partial 16S ribosomal RNA". It matches the Rfam family "Bacterial small subunit ribosomal RNA", at positions 504 to 809 of the family's 1533-position model. The record is from RNAcentral.
AGAGACAGCAGUAGCCGCGGUAAUACGGAGGGUGCAAGCGUUAAUCGGAAUUACUGGGCGUAAAGCGCACGCAGGCGGUCUGACAAGUCAGAUGUGAAAUCCCCGGGCUUAACCUGGGAACUGCAUUUGAAACUGUCAGGCUGGAGUCUUGUAGAGGGGGGUAGAAUUCCAGGUGUAGCGGUGAAAUGCGUAGAGAUCUGGAGGAAUACCGGUGGCGAAGGCGGCCCCCUGGACAAAGACUGACGCUCAGGUGCGAAAGCGUGGGGAGCAAACAGGAUUAGAUACCCGAGUAGUCCCUGUCUCUUAUAA